CCGCCUGUCUCGGCCUCCCAAAGUGCUGAGAUUACAGACGUGAGCCACCGAUCCGGGCCCUUGCACAUAUUUUCUUAUGAACACACAGGUAGCAGCACUCUGAUUACAGUAACUUACAUGGAAGUUAUUUUAAAAUGACUUUCCCCUUCUCUUCCUCAUGUAGGCUGUAUAUUUCAUCUGCAGCACGCUUUCUCCCAAGAAUCUCAAGCACACACAGGAAACCAGAGAAUAAAAUCACUGAGGCUUGAACAUAUCCAGAGACCAAGGGCGUCACUGGCAGAAAAGCUUUUAGGCGGAUCCCCAGGCCCAAGAGCCACCCCGCCCAGAGACGUGGCUUCCUAGGAGCAGUUCACACGCGGCUGUGCAGCACCCACAAGCGGGGCCAGGGGCUGGUUUUCAUAGUUCACAGUCUGCAGGGAUCUUAGCAAAAAUAUGGCCGUGGUAAAAGUGCCUCGACCAGAUUCAUCAUGUUACUAGGCUGGGAUAAUAAAAAGGACUGUUGAACUUCACAUCUGCCAUCUGUAACACAUUCUUAAUGAAGCAAUCUUGCAUCGGGGGAUUUAUCAACUCUGCCAAAUUUCCUAAAAUUACCAAAUGGAGAAAAAAGAGCUGGUCCCGCCUCACCAGGCACAACCAGUUUGGAACCAAAACUGCAGUGUCCCCAAGACAUGCCUGUAGGUACACAAGUCCAUACUGAUAAAUGACUGAAUAAACAGGAGAGAAGCAAAUCUUCAAGAAGAAUAACAUGCACAGAUACUGCUCUCUCCCGGGGUUGGAGCUUAUUUAUUUAUUUAUUUAUUUUGAGACGGAGUCUGGCUCUGUCUCCCAGGCUGGAGUGCAGUGGCCGGAUCUCAGCUCACUGCAAGCUCC
Rhinopithecus roxellana (golden snub-nosed monkey) is the source of this 870-nucleotide long non-coding RNA. RefSeq lists it as uncharacterized. Lineage: Eukaryota; Metazoa; Chordata; Mammalia; Primates; Cercopithecidae. The transcript is spliced from 3 exons. The record is from RefSeq and is a predicted model, not a curated record.